Molecule: long non-coding RNA, 317 nt
Organism: Folsomia candida
Lineage: Eukaryota; Metazoa; Arthropoda; Collembola; Entomobryomorpha; Isotomidae
Exons: 3
Source: RefSeq, a predicted model, not a curated record
GUUACAUGCAUGCAUACUUAAUUGCAUAUCAAAACCACUCGCUUCUGUCCCUGCAUACUCGCUCACCUGCCCACAACCAACACGAGGAAAGAACUGAUAGGAAGAUUGGUAACAAGAAGAUUGACAUUGAACACGGUCAAACUUUAUUCGCAAGAUCAUCCAAGCCAAGAAUACUUACUACAACCAUAAUCAAAACACCACCAAUCUCAUUUCUAUAUAUUUCGCUAGGUGCAACCCCAAAAUUCUAAAUUGUAAGCCGAUCAUACCAGGCGAGACGGCCAAUCCGGUUUUGCUCAAAAAUUUCAAUCAUAAACUAU